UGAACGCUGGCGGCGUGCCUAAUACAUGCAAGUCGAACGAGUUCUGAUUAUUGAAAGGUGCUUGCAUCUUGAUUUUAAUUUUGAACGAGUGGCGGACGGGUGAGUAACACGUGGGUAACCUGCCCUUAAGUGGGGGAUAACAUUUGGAAACAGAUGCUAAUACCGCAUAAAUCCAAGAACCGCAUGGUUCUUGGCUGAAAGAUGGCGUAAGCUAUCGCUUUUGGAUGGACCCGCGGCGUAUUAGCUAGUUGGUGAGGUAACGGCUCACCAAGGCAAUGAUACGUAGCCGAACUGAGAGGUUGAUCGGCCACAUUGGGACUGAGACACGGCCCAAACUCCUACGGGAGGCAGCAGUAGGGAAUCUUCCACAAUGGACGCAAGUCUGAUGGAGCAACGCCGCGUGAGUGAAGAAGGCCUUCGGGUCGUAAAACUCUGUUGUUGGAGAAGAAUGGUCGGCAGAGUAACUGUUGUCGGCGUGACGGUAUCCAACCAGAAAGCCACGGCUAACUACGUGCCAGCAGCCGCGGUAAUACGUAGGUGGCAAGCGUUAUCCGGAUUUAUUGGGCGUAAAGCGAGCGCAGGCGGUUUUUUAAGUCUGAUGUGAAAGCCCUCGGCUUAACCGAGGAAGUGCAUCGGAAACUGGGAAACUUGAGUGCAGAAGAGGACAGUGGAACUCCAUGUGUAGCGGUGAAAUGCGUAGAUAUAUGGAAGAACACCAGUGGCGAAGGCGGCUGUCUGGUCUGUAACUGACGCUGAGGCUCGAAAGCAUGGGUAGCGAACAGGAUUAGAUACCCUGGUAGUCCAUGCCGUAAACGAUGAAUGCUAGGUGUUGGAGGGUUUCCGCCCUUCAGUGCCGCAGCUAACGCAUUAAGCAUUCCGCCUGGGGAGUACGACCGCAAGGUUGAAACUCAAAGGAAUUGACGGGGGCCCGCACAAGCGGUGGAGCAUGUGGUUUAAUUCGAAGCAACGCGAAGAACCUUACCAGGUCUUGACAUCUUUUGAUCACCUGAGAGAUCAGGUUUCCCCUUCGGGGGCAAAAUGACAGGUGGUGCAUGGUUGUCGUCAGCUCGUGUCGUGAGAUGUUGGGUUAAGUCCCGCAACGAGCGCAACCCUUAUGACUAGUUGCCAGCAUUUAGUUGGGCACUCUAGUAAGACUGCCGGUGACAAACCGGAGGAAGGUGGGGAUGACGUCAAAUCAUCAUGCCCCUUAUGACCUGGGCUACACACGUGCUACAAUGGAUGGUACAACGAGUUGCGAGACCGCGAGGUCAAGCUAAUCUCUUAAAGCCAUUCUCAGUUCGGACUGUAGGCUGCAACUCGCCUACACGAAGUCGGAAUCGCUAGUAAUCGCGGAUCAGCACGCCGCGGUGAAUACGUUCCCGGGCCUUGUACACACCGCCCGUCAUACCAUGAGAGUUUGUAACACCCGAAGCCGGUGGCGUAACCCUUUUAGGGAGCGAGCCGUCUAAGGUGGGACAAAUGAUUAGGGU
This 1490-nucleotide ribosomal RNA is filed under the name uncultured organism. Its description in RNAcentral is "SSU rRNA". It matches the Rfam family "Bacterial small subunit ribosomal RNA". The record is from RNAcentral.